AUUGAACGCUGGCGGCAUGCCUUACACAUGCAAGUCGAACGGCAGCACGGGUGCUUGCACCUGGUGGCGAGUGGCGAACGGGUGAGUAAUAUAUCGGAACGUACCUUAUUGUGGGGGAUAACGCAGCGAAAGCUGUGCUAAUACCGCAUAAUCCCUAAGGGGGAAAGCGGGGGACCGUAAGGCCUCGCGCCAUUAGAGCGGCCGAUACCUGAUUAGCCAGUUGGUGAGGUAAAGGCUCACCAAGGCAACGAUCAGUAGCUGGUCUGAGAGGACGAUCAGCCACACUGGGACUGAGACACGGCGCAGACUCCUACGGGAGGCAGCAGUGGGGAAUUUUGGACAAUGGGGGAAACCCUGAUCCAGCAAUGCCGCGUGAGUGAAGAAGGCCUUCGGGUUGUAAAGCUCUUUUGUCAGGGAAGAAACAGCAGCUCUAACACAGUAUGCGAAUGACGGUACCUGAAGAAUAAGCACCGGCUAACUACGUGCCAGCCGCCGCGGUAA
RNAcentral lists this ribosomal RNA (501 nucleotides) under uncultured bacterium. RNAcentral's name for it is "partial 16S ribosomal RNA". It matches the Rfam family "Bacterial small subunit ribosomal RNA", at positions 30 to 523 of the family's 1533-position model. The record is from RNAcentral.